This 401-nucleotide ribosomal RNA is filed under the name uncultured Cantharellales. RNAcentral's name for it is "eukaryotic LSU rRNA". The stretch from base 1 to 122 matches the Rfam family "5.8S ribosomal RNA", at positions 33 to 154 of the family's 154-position model. The record is from RNAcentral. Lineage: Eukaryota; Fungi; Basidiomycota; Agaricomycetes; Cantharellales.
UCGAUGAAGAACGCAGCGAAAUGCGAUAAGUAAUGUGAAUUGCAGAAUUCAGUGAAUCAUCGAAUCUUUGAACGCAUCUUGCGCUCCCUGGUAUUCCGGGGAGCACGCCUGUUCGAGUGUCGCGAAAUUCUCAAGCCGUGGAUGCUUUUGUUAAGUGUCCUAAGCUUGGUUAUUGGGCUUUGCCGUGUCCUUUUGGGAUGGCUGGCCUUAAAAGUAUUAGCUGAUCCUCAUGAUGGCAUUGGUUCUACUCAGCGUGAUAAUUAACUGACCGCUGAGGACAUCUUUCGGGGUGGCCAAUUCUCGUUUGGGUUGCUCUCUAAUCUGGUUUAUGGGUUGCUAAUAACAAUCCGUUCCAUUUUCAAUUUGACCUCGAAUCAGGUGGGACUACCCGCUGAACUUAA